AAAAAAAAAAAAACAUAUGGCAUAUUAUAUAAUACAACUAGAUAUAACAAUUUAAGCAAGUAGCAUGAUUAGAAAGGUUUUAAAAAUGAAUUAUUUAGACAUCUAUUUUUAACACCUAAUCAUAUAUGAUAUGCUCUCGAAAAGAGACUAUGGAUGCAUGGUCAUGGAAAUGAAACUACAAAUGUACCAAGGACAAUACAGAAAAAGCCCAAUUAUAUUUCAGUUUAACCGUGAGAUAUUUAAUUCUAGAUCAUUAGAUUAUAAAAAUAUUUUCAAAGACAAAUGUGAAAACACUAUUCCCAGCAAGAAGCAGAACUGUUGUGUGUUUUAAGUACUAGGGUGUAAAUGCAAAGAAACUAUACAUAUAAAGCCUUAAUGACAGGACAUUCAAUUAAGUGUAUAGAUGACAAGGUCGGGAUGGCAAGACUAUACAUAAUCCACAAUAAGAAAGCAGGCUAUUGAGAGCAUGAAAGAAUGAAAUUAAUCGAAAGUACACUAUCUUCAGAAGAUGACAGAUUACGCAAUCUAAGCCAUCCAUAAGCUGAAGUACAGUACCUUCAGAAAUUCUUAACCAAGCAUGAGCAUAAAGUAUCCGUAAUUGCAAAAAAUAAGAAUAAAUGCACAAACACAUUAUAGACUGCAAUUUUUGUUUAGAGGGGAAAAAAUCACAAAUGUCAGUGGUUUUAUUGAACUACAUACCUCCGAAGAAACUGAAUUUUGA
Molecule: unclassified non-coding RNA, 721 nt
Filed under: Hevea brasiliensis (rubber tree)
Lineage: Eukaryota; Viridiplantae; Streptophyta; Magnoliopsida; Malpighiales; Euphorbiaceae
Source: RNAcentral